GGCGUGCUUACACAUGCAAGUCGAGCGGACUUUGGCAGCACAUCGCCAGAGUUAGCGGCAGACGGGUGAGUAACAUUUGGGCAAUCUGCCCUUGAGCGGGAGACAACCUGCCGAAAGGCGGGCUAAUAUCCCGUAAGACCACAGGGUCGCAUGACCUAGGGGUCAAAGCUCCGUAAGGGGCGCUUGAGGAGGAGCCCGAGGCCUAUCAUGGUAGUUGGCGGGGUAACGGCCCACCAAGCCUUUGACGGGUAGCCGGCCUGAAAGGGUGAGCGGCCACACUGGCACUGAGACACGGGCCAGACUCCUACGGGAGGCAGCAGUGGGGAAUUUUGGACAAUGGGGGCAACCCUGAUCCAGCGACGCCGCGUGAAGGAUGAAGGUCUUCGGAUUGUAAACUUCUUUUGGAGGGGACGAAUGCCUGCGUGAAAAACGCAGGGUGACGGUACUCUCUGAAUAAGCCACGGCUAACUACGUGCCAGCAGCCGCGGUAAUACGUAGGUGGCGAGCGUUACUCGGAAUCACUAGGCGUAAAGUGCGGGUAGGCGGUUCGGUAAGUCUCUUGUGAAA
This 567-nucleotide ribosomal RNA is filed under the name uncultured bacterium. RNAcentral describes it as "bacterial SSU rRNA". It matches the Rfam family "Bacterial small subunit ribosomal RNA", at positions 41 to 599 of the family's 1533-position model. The record is from RNAcentral.